UUAAUUAUGAUAUUGCUGUUAUUUUUUCUUUAUCUUAUUUUUCUUAAAAUAAUAUUUUUUUUAGUAAUUUUUAUUGAAUUUAUAAUUUUAGCUAUAGUUUAUGUUACUGUGAAGGACUUUUUUUUAUUAUUUAUAAGUUGACUUUUUUUGUUGUACCUUUUGUAUCAGGGUUUAUUAAUUUUAAAUUAAUUAUUAUUAAUUUUCCCGAAAUUAUAAGAGAUAUAUUUAAAUGAUAGUUUACGUUUUAUAGUAAUUUUUAAUUUAUAUAUAGAGGUUAUAUGCUAUUCAAUUUUAAAUAUCUGGUUGUUUAAUAAACUAAUUUAAUUAGGUCUAUUGAUUGGUUAUUUUAUAAAUUUAUUUUUUUUAAUAUCAAUAGAUAAAAUUAUAGGGGAUAAGCUCUGUAUUUGUUUUAUAAUCUAAUUUUUUGUAAAGAUUUUGUAGGCUUGACAACAGCCAUCAUUUAUUUCGUUAUAGUUAAUUCUUAGUUAAUUUUAAUUUAUUUAAGAUUUAAGUUUUUAUUAAACUUUUUAUUUUAAUUUUUUAUUUUAAGUAAUAAUGAUAGAAUUAGUAGUUUUGAACAUUUAAAUAUAAGAAUUCGGCAAAUUUAGUUCCCGCCUGUUUAACAAAAACAUGUCUUAUAGAUUUUUAAUUUUAAGUCUAAUCUGCCCGGUGAUUUAUUAAACGGCCGCAGUAUUCUGACUGUGCGAAGGUAGCAUGAUCAUUUGUCUCUUAAUUGGAGGCUUGUAUGAAUGAUUGGACGAGGAACUGACUUUUUUUAUUUAAUUUUUAUGAAUUUGAUUUUUGAGUCAAAAAGCUUAAAUUUUUUUGCAAGACGAGAAGACCCUAUAGAAUUUUAUUUUUAGCUAAUUAUUUAUGAUUUGGUUAAUUAACAAUAAAUAUUUUUUUAAAAAUUUUGUUGGGGCGAUAUUGAAAUUUAAUUAACUUUCAUUUAUUAUUUUUCAUUGCUUAGUGUAUUUUUUGAUCCUUUAUUAUGGAUUAAUAGAUUAAAUUACCUUAGGGAUAACAGCGUAAUUUUUUCGGAGAGUUCUUAUCGAUGAAUUAAGUUUGCGACCUCGAUGUUGGAUUAAAGUGAAUUUUUGGUGCAGAAGCUAAAAAAUUUGAGUCUGUUCGACUCUUAAAUCUUUACAUGAUCUGAGUUCAGACCGGCGUGAGCCAGGUUGGUUUCUAUCUGCAAUCAUUUAUUAUAUUUUAGUACGAGAGGACCAAAUAUAAGUAAUAUUUAUUAUAUUUUGAUUAUUAUUA
This 1263-nucleotide ribosomal RNA is filed under the name Cletus rubidiventris. RNAcentral describes it as "16S ribosomal RNA". The stretch from base 826 to 1195 matches the Rfam family "Archaeal large subunit ribosomal RNA", at positions 2150 to 2716 of the family's 2987-position model. Lineage: Eukaryota; Metazoa; Arthropoda; Insecta; Hemiptera; Coreidae. The record is from RNAcentral.